This is a non-coding RNA of Mycena latifolia, 93 nucleotides long. NCBI's taxonomy places the organism in Eukaryota, Fungi, Basidiomycota, Agaricomycetes, Agaricales, Mycenaceae. The record is from the annotation of a GenBank genome assembly.
GGCUUGUUGGCGUAAUGGUAACGCAUUCCAUGUACCUAUAGCAUUUGCAUAUCAGUUGAUGGAAGGUUCAGAGGUCGAUUCUCCAUCAAGCCA